Molecule: long non-coding RNA, 1450 nt
Organism: Gallus gallus (chicken)
Lineage: Eukaryota; Metazoa; Chordata; Aves; Galliformes; Phasianidae
Source: Ensembl
CACACAUGCGUGGAGAGAGCAUCACUUUUUCCAGUGGCCUCUGCCUUAAAUGCUUUCAGCCAAAGGGUCUGGGCUGCUUUCCAAAAGCAACCAAGCUUUCUGCAGGCAGAGCACCACUGAGUGCCCAGAGGCCCUAUUAAGGCUGCACAGCCCUGCCCUGCUGGAGCAGCCCGAAAACGUGUUCUGCUCCUGGAGGAACAGAGGGAGAUUGUGCUGCUCUGUGCGUGCUGGAGGUGCUGAGCAGGAGCUGGUGAAGGAUGGAGCAGGGAGGUGGGCCCGGGGCUGGCUUUCCUGUCAACGUGCCACUCAGCCCUACUGCUCUGGGUUUGACUGACACUCGGCGGUCCUCCCCGCUCGUGCUUGGGGCUUCCUCCCGGAAAACGACUGGGAACAUCAGGGUUGCAACUGGAAGGUUGUGUUUCCGACUGAUUUGCAAGGCUUGGGGAGGCGCUGAGAUUUGCAUCGUUCUGCAACAGCCGGGAUCAAAGGUGCAGCUCAGAAACGUGAGGCGUUUUGGAGCAACCUGCAAAGCAGCUGAGGAAGGCGUGGAGCUGGGAGAGCGCAGACAGACAGCGAUAGAAGACUGAAUUGCUCCGUGCGUUGAGCAAUUAAGCCAAGCCGAACGGGGCAGCGUGAACAAAGCGAUGGGGAAAUCACUGAGGCACAAAGCUGAGCUCACUGACCGCGAUGUGGUGAGGGGGCUCAAUAAGGGUCAAUUAAGCUCCCACCGCACCGCCUGGCAGACGGAAUUAAGUGCCAAUUUUCUGCACUGCUGCAGAGGCAGAGCAUUAAAAUGAUAAAUAACAGGAAGUUUCAGCCAAAAAGAAGGAGCAAGUUGGGAGAUGGGAGUUUGAGGCUGAGCCGGCAGUGAGACAGCCCUGAGCACCACUGCCCUCUGCCGCAGCCGCAGCGCUCUCCUCUACAGCAAACCCACGAGGGUGGGUGGAUGGAAGCACGCAGACCCGCGGCUCCUGGCCGGGUAGUGGGCUGCUCUGCUUAGUGCACCCCGAUGGCUGCGGGGUGUGCCGAGGUUUUGCCUCCAGCUCGUUGGGAAGCACAUUUUUCGGCCAUAGGUGGGAUGCUGCAGCACUGAGAGCGUGGUGAAGGAGCAGAGCCCUUCCUUCUAACCGAGGUAUCCACGCUCUGCUCGGGGCCAGCAGGUGCAGGCAAAGCUCCCAUUAGGGCAGACGGUUCCUGGGCUCUCAUACGUGUGCGUGGCACAGCUGUGCUCGUGCAGCUCCCCGACCUCCUCCUCCUCCUCCUUUUUGCAGCAGGUGGGAACGCAGAGCGGCUGCUUUCGUUCUCAUUGCCACGCAGGGUCUGAGCAGUUGCUGCGGGUCGUGGGGAUCUGGGAACAAACGCCGGGCUGGGAAAGCAGAUUGCGGUCCGUUUGUGGAGGUUCCCGGGCUGAGCGCAGCUCUUCUCUCCCCGCGCUACGCUUUCUGAGCUG